GAAAUGCGAUAAUUAAUGUGAAUUGCAGAAUUCAGUGAAUCAUCGAGUCUUUGAACGCACAUUGCGCCCCCUGGUAUUCCGGGGGGCAUGCCUGUCCGAGCGUCAUUGCUGCCCUCAAGCACGGCUUGUGUGUUGGGCUUCCGUCCCUGGCAACGGGGACGGGCCCAAAAGGCAGUGGCGGCACCAUGUCUGGUCCUCGAGCGUAUGGGGCUUUGUCACCCGCUCCCGUAGGUCCAGCUGGCAGCUAGCCUCGCAACCAAUCUUUUUAACCAGGUUGACCUCGGAUCAGGUAGGGAUACCCGCUGAACUUAAGU
Molecule: unclassified non-coding RNA, 314 nt
Filed under: plant metagenome
Description: partial contains 5.8S ribosomal RNA, internal transcribed spacer 2, and large subunit ribosomal RNA
Rfam family: 5.8S ribosomal RNA (bases 1-105)
Source: RNAcentral